Molecule: long non-coding RNA, 448 nt
Organism: Nycticebus coucang (slow loris)
Lineage: Eukaryota; Metazoa; Chordata; Mammalia; Primates; Lorisidae
Exons: 3
Source: RefSeq, a predicted model, not a curated record
CUGGGAUCUGUGGUCAGAUGGGAGAGGACCGUCGGUGGGGGCCAAAUCUCAGAGAAUUACCCAAGUCUGAGAACAUUGAGUUCCCUCGAGACCAUGGACAAAACAAAGAGACUUGGAAAAUCCUCUUUGGAGGCAAAUGCUGAGCAGAGAUUCCUCCUCCGCUGUGACAUCCUCAACUUCCUGUGAAGUGAGAACCUCCCAGGGUCCUCUGGCAGAGCAAGGUCCUUGUUGAAGGAAAAAUAAAAGCAUUUUAAUGUCCCUUCAGAACAGAAAAACUAUCUGGGCAUCAUGGCAGGCAUCUGUAGUCCCAGGCACACAGGAGGCUGAGGCAAGAGGAUCACUUGAGCCCAAGAGUUUGAGGUUGCUGUGAGCUGUGAUGCCAUGAAUUCUACCCAGGGCAACAGAGUGAGACUUUGUCUCAGAAAAAUAAAUAAAUAAAUAAAUAAAU